Long non-coding RNA from Macrobrachium nipponense, 3047 nucleotides. RefSeq lists it as uncharacterized. NCBI's taxonomy places the organism in Eukaryota, Metazoa, Arthropoda, Malacostraca, Decapoda, Palaemonidae. The transcript has 5 exons. The record is from RefSeq and is a predicted model, not a curated record.
AAUUCAUUUUUGGUUUAUUCAUGCAUGGAUGUGGCCAACCAUAGUGCGAAGUCAAGUUGUUCUAUAGAAUAUGAAUUUUUUUUUUUCAGAGAAUGCGGUGUUUUGGCUCUUCAAUAGAAUGUAAUUUUGGUUCGUUCAAGAAAGGACAAGGACAGCUAUAGUGCAGAGUCAAGGUGUUCCGGAGAACGUGGUUUUUGGUUGUUCAGAACAUAAUCUUGGUUUAUUUGAGCAUGGCCGAGGCCAGUUAUAGUAUGAAGUCACUGUGUUCUGGAGAACAUGGAGAUUUUUUUCGGAAAAGGAGGUUUUUGGUUUACUUGCACACAACCAAAACCGGCUAUAGCACAAGGUUAAAGGUGUUCUGGAGAACAUAGGUUUUCUUUCGUAAGGAUUGGUGGGAACCCUCGAUAUAGGUUAGCUUCGGGAACUCUGUUGUGUGUCGUAACACGAAAUUAAUAAAAUGGGUAGCAUAAACCUUAAGGAAAGGGUAAGGCGGUUUUCUGCUUGAUGAGAAACACGUUAUAUUGGUGCAAAGGUUUUACGGUUUGUGUAAAGGUUAUAAAGCUGGGUUCCUGUAGGCAAGUAUGAACCAAUAGCUUUGGAGUACACACAAGUAGGUGCGAGCACAAAUGAUUAAAUGAGGUUCCCUGUAAAUACAUUAGAUGUGACAAGGAUGAUUAUGCUCAUUAUGAAGCAGAAUAAAAAUUCAUUCGAAAGGUUUCAUUGUGUGCGUAAGGAAUUUUAUGCUAAGGUUCAUUCAUAGACUUACAUCCAGCUUCAGUGAGGCUAAUGACUGAUAGCUGUAAGUUGCAAUGGGGCAAGGAUUCGAACUGCAAAUUACAGAGUGCGAGAUAUGAGCAAUAAGGUUACCACUUUUACAUUUUUGCCUGUGAGGGGACUCUAAAUCCAAAGAAGGGAAAUUACUUUCAUGAUUUUAACAAGUAAACUGACUUACUCACCAUGAGGAUUUUAUGUACCUGACUGUUAAUUGUGGGGGCAGACAAAACAUGAGGGGAAAAGAGAUGAGCUGAAGGCUUUACCCAACAGGGAAAUGUUGCAGAUAAGACACUUAGGUCCACUUCAAAAUCACAUAUAUUUACAUAAAACAAACAUCAGAAGAAUGUGAACUGAAAUAGGCAGGUAAACAGAGUCCUGCGUAAUAAAUAAGUUACAUUAACGGCAAAAAUAAGUGAAGAAUGCCAGAGAAAUACGCUUCAAGGGGACUGUAAUUUAAGUUACAGUGGUUUUGGAACCACAUCACACAGGCACAAUCAAAAGGAGGAUUACAGAGCAAGCAACUCCGUCUGCAAUUGAGAAUGCAAGUUACUUGACGUAAGUUACAGCACAGUCAUAGGAAAAUUUGGACAGAUGCUCGGAAGGUAUCAGCAAUGGGAACACACUUAUGGGUUAAACUAAUGUACAGCAAUAAUAAAGUCAGGUCUAACAUGAAAUUGCACCAUUGAUAAAAAAAAAUUAAAUCAUAAAAAGAAUAAUGAAGUCGUGACUGAUAAAGAAAACUGAUUUCGGUUAUGACAAUCCAUAUCACUUUCUCAUUAGUAUAUUAAGUAGUUACUUAGAAGUAAAUACGCAAGAUUGGUAACCCCUAUAGCUUUACAUAAUGAUAGGAUGUGUUUCUUGCAGGUAAAAUUUUAAUGCACUUUUAGAUUUCAUUUUAUUGUAACUUUUGAGAGUAUUUUGAUUUGUAAGGUGAGGCAUGGUGUGUUGAGUAAGAAUUAAAUAGUGAUUAGCAAAUUACUAAUUGAUAUUAUACAACAUGGUCAGUUAAAUAUUCUAUGCUCAGAUAAGGUAAUAAACAUCCUUCUUAGUUACAAAGUUCUGUGAUAGUUUAUUCCAGUUGCAUCAUCUAAUAUAUGAAGUUGGACCAAGCCAACUACCUUCACUCAAAAGUAUUUUUUAUAAAUAGCGUUUUAAAUUUUGUAGUCGGGGUUGGGGGGGUGUUGUUUUGGUGGCUUGGGGGAACUUUGAUCAUCGUCUAAAUGUAAGUUGUCAACCUUUACCACUACAUUCAACACUUUCCUUACAGGAGGAUUUGAUGCAUCUUCCAGAGACAGCUCUUCACUGCCCUACCAACGAAAAGUCCAUAAAAAUGGCAGUAUAAAGAACUAUAAAUCAGAUAUUUUAAAACUAUAUGUAUGAUAUGAAUUAGAUGUAUUUUGAGUUGCACCGUUGGCAUAAAAUAAUGAAUUAAUUCAUUUACAGAAUCCACUCCAGAGGUCUCACAAAGGUUUAAGGGCAAACUCCAGUUGAACAAAAGAUUAUCUCUAGUUGGAGCUGCAGUUAAAGAUACAGAGUACAGAGCUACAAUGUUGGCACGCCUCAAAACAAUUGAGGAAAAUCAGCAGCUGAUGGUAAACCUACUACAGUCUGUAGCUUCUGCUGUAGGUUCAAGAGGGGAGGAUGUGGAUGAUGUUUUGCCAGCCCCAGGAUGCAGUUUAGAGGAGUUGGAUGACUUGUGCACUAAGUUAACUGAUAAAACAUUAAAAAAGAAAUUGGAGCAUGCUUAAGAAACUACAGAAAGGUAAAAUUAUCCGAAGUGGAACAUGAAAUUAGUGAAGCCCUGAAGCAUGCCCCCAAAAGAAAAGGUGGCCUGAAGUACAAGGAUCCUGAGCCUAAAAGACCCAAUUAUUUAAUAGUACAAGAGUCAUCCGAUUCAGAAAACUAGGCCCAGUUUAAAUAAAGACGAAGUGCAAGUUUUCAGUGCCCCAAGAAGGUCAUAGAGUAUGAGGCCCUCCACCCCCACACUCCUAUCAUCGUACUUCCCAUUGUCUAUACCACAUAACCGUCAUUUACCACCUGCUACUACUUAAUGCAGUAAUUGUCGAUGUGCAAGCAGGUCAGCACCAAGUCUGCCUCGCUCCAAAGAACCCUCCUGUGCAAGAUAAAAUUCAUGAUCUUAUAAUUCAUAAUAUAAGUUUUUAUUUCUUAUCUGCUACCAGGAGAGACCAAGUAAAGUACUGCUUUGAAUUAAAGACAAUCUUCUUUUUACAGAAUAUGUUUGUGCUGUAUGGUACUAUUUUCGUUAUAUAUUU